GGUGAUGUGGCUCAGUUGGUAGAGCAUGGUGUUUGCAACGCCAGGGUGUUUGCAACGCCA
Molecule: transfer RNA, 60 nt
Filed under: Salmo salar (Atlantic salmon)
Lineage: Eukaryota; Metazoa; Chordata; Actinopteri; Salmoniformes; Salmonidae
Source: Rfam by way of RNAcentral